GGAAUAUGAACAAAUAAUUAAGAAAAAUAAGAAUACAAGAAUUUUUAACGAGGUUCGGCAAUGUACCUACGUCAUCGGGAGCGAUGAGCGGCUGUAUUAUAUUAUUAAUUCUCUAACUAGGUUAUAAAUACAAAAGAUAUAUAUAACCCUUGGCAUAAUUACAAAAAUACCAUAUAUUGUAUCGUACCACGGGAUCGUUGCCCCCGCACCCCCAACCUACUUAGACCGUAGCCCGCAGAGUAACUAUGAAAUUUCCUCAUUGGACAGAUGUUGUUGCUCCGCUCUGUUCGCUCGUUGCACUGCGCUCCACUUCGCUCUAGCAUCUGUCCCUUAAACUGGUAUAUGAGCCAUACCUAACAGAUAGUUACAUAACUUGAAACUGAUUGGAUUGGAUUGGUAAAGAAUUCAAAAAUUUUUGUUCCUACAUCCAGAUUUUGUCUGACAAGAUGUGAACAAAAUUUUUUUUCUACUUCCUGAUAUUAUGAAACACGUAUUCUGUUAGGAAGAAAUUCAUAUCAGUUUCCUGAUAGAAACAUCGCAAGAGAAGUGAUAUCCAUGAACAAAAAACUGAAAGCAAGAUAUUUUCCAUAACCAAACACAUGGUGGUCUCGUGGGAAUGCAGUAUUUGUCUCGUCUCCGAACUCCAUCUGAUGCAGCAGAAGCAUACAAGAAUCUAGAAAGAGUUUGUCUUGUUGGCUUCAGGAUCAUCCAAGCAUUAAAUUGAGAGUGAUAGACCACCAAAUAGGAAUCACAAAAUGAAAGUUCCACGACUUCAUCUCUGCACUAAGACACUUCAGUUCAGCAUUCUCCUUCUCUUUCCACUGCAUGUGAAUUUGAUUAGUCAGCCAGUCAGUAUCAACAUAAGCACAUGCAGUCCAUAAUACCAACAAGGCUGCAAUUCUCAGCUAAAUUGGAUUUCCUUCUACUGCACUUCCCUUUCAUUGAACAAACAAGAAUCCAUGCUUAAAAAGGCAUAGAAUAAGAAUUCUUGAAAGUUAGUUUCGAUGGGUAUAAUCCAAAUUAGUUGAGGGUCGAAUAUGGAUUAUUAAG
This 1050-nucleotide long non-coding RNA is filed under the name Ricinus communis (castor bean). RNAcentral's name for it is "long non-coding RNA (RCOM_LNC002860)". The record is from RNAcentral. Lineage: Eukaryota; Viridiplantae; Streptophyta; Magnoliopsida; Malpighiales; Euphorbiaceae.